CAUUCCUGUGUGCUUUUGCUAGGCGUGUGAAGUUUGUGGGGUCUCAGCUCUUGGGAAAGGCAUUUAGAAGGAUAAGCGCUUGUGCCUGACUUCUCCAAGGCCCGUGUGUCGAGGUAGUCUGAAGAGCUUAUGCUGUGAGCAAUGAGCUUUACAAGGUGAUAUCUGAAACCUUCCUCUUUCCUUAGUUUCACUGCUUCUGCUACUGUUUUUUUGCAGUGUCAAGUACACGAGACCAUACGAACCCCUGAGGAACAGACAUAUCACAUCAAGUUUGAAAGACCUCUUAGCCCUGGAUGGCUUAUUUUUGCUGUUAUUUCUUCUUAAACAAGGAGUCCUUGUGGUUUGUCAUGCAGCCACAUAGGUUUGGGGGAAGGGAUUUAUCUGCUCAGUACAGUAACCAAUGUUGAUGUGGAAGGGAAAUGACUAUGGCCAUAAUUACUUCCAGUGAGUGUAGAAACUGGAGAAGGUUAGAGCCUCCUUGUGCACUGUGCACCUAGGGAUCAGUGUUCAAUAUGAAUGACAGAAGAACAAAGGUCAGACUUCUGGAACCACUCACAGUCAAACACAGUUGCCAAGCUCCCUUGAAUUUUAUUUGUUACUUGUUAAAACAACAAAAUUAAAAAAAAAAAAGAAACCCUUUCUUCUCAUUAUAGAUGGAGGAACACAGAUGCACAGCCCAGGUCUCCAGCUAAAAGAGACAGGGAAAGGGAGUCCGUACUGGUGCUCAUAAGGAAAGAUACUUUAUAAGGACUGGUAUGCAUGGUGGAAGCUCUCUUCUGACUGUGCACCCCCACAGAACACAGAAGGAAGCAACAGAAGGGUAUUUUGGCUGCAAACCUAGCUGCAAACAGUACUCCUUGCUCAGCCAUUCUGGUUGUAAAUGGUAGAAGGCAGAAAAUGAGCAUAGUGACAUGACUGGGCUUGUGGCAGUGAAAAAUUCCCAGUUUAGGAUGAAAUAAAGAACUUUACCCUUUAAUAAUAAACUUACUACUGACUCAAGACCCAUCUUUUCACAUUCCUCUACCACAGGAAUGCACCAUCUACUUUCAGCUCAGACAUCCCCCUCCCUGCAUUACAAAAGCAGGAAAUCUUGUCCUCUGGUCUAGUUAGAAAUAGUCUAGCCUAGUCAAGUUAGUCUAGCCACUCCUCCCUCAGUACAGCAUGCUCAUCUUCAAGCCAGGGAAGCCCUACUGCAUUCGAGAAAGGCUGCCGUGCAGAAAUUCAGCUGCAACAAUACAGACACAGGAAAGAUCCUCAGAGAUUUCAUCUGGUGAGUGAAGUGAGUCUGAGGCAUUGUACUGUUGAAGUAGGUGAUUUGUAAGCAUUUGUUAUUGACAUAAGGCUCACUUUUUAUUUUUAUUUUUUUUUUCCUUACAGAACAUGCAAUGCUAAACAGCUGGCCAAAGGCAUCAUUUUUCUCCCCUUUCUCAUCCCUCAAGAUUGCUGAACCAAUGGCAUCAGCCAGGGAAGGAAGAAGCCCCAAGCACAGAAAUAGCAGGUGCCACCUCUUUUUUUUUUGUGGUAAGUAAGGAUUUAUUGCACAUUUGUUUUAAGCUGGAGACAGACAGGUAUCCCCUUCAACUACAAGAGCUUUAGCUUCCUAGCCAUUCCAUUUUAGCACAGAUAUUCUUAGGCAUCCCCGUUCCCACAUGUAGAACAGAGCCUUUCCACCCACAGGAGAAACCAUCUUUACAAGAAGCCAUCACCAGCCAGUAGUUCUUCCAGAGAAAGGACCCCUCAGCACCCACUUAGACCCCGCAGAGGCUGACUCCAGUACCAGUAUUUCAGGGGCAUACCUCAAAAGCAGAGGAACAGCAUUAGACCUAGAAGCUCCCCAUAGCUUCUUGCUCAAGGGAAACUGUAAAGCAAGAGGAAGACCUCUCUCAAACAGGGGACCUGGUUUUCCCACUAUUACAAAGUCACCCAUUUUUAAGUUUCAAGUCUCCCAUCCACUAAUUCAACCCAGUGCACUUUGAGAGGCAUGCUCUUUAGUAUUAUGCCUUAUCCCCACAAGGAGACAUCUUCAUUUUUAUAAACACAACACCAAGUUGGCCUUGUUAGAGACCUGUCACAACAGGGAGAGGUCAUCAGCAUUUCCCUCCUUUAAUUUUCCCAUUUGUCUGAGUUUUUCCCCUCCAAGAGCAGCAUGCUAAAGUCAGAGAGCAGAGCAGCAGCUGCCCUCCUUCCUGAGGGUCUCAGUCUACUUAGGCUGCUACAGUAUCCAUCCUGCAUAGCUAGAGAUGGUUUGCCUGUGGUGUGAGGGAGUAAACAUGACCUCCAGCCACUUCCCUCAACCCCCCCAGGGUGCAGUCCACGACUACAGAGAACAAGCAACCUCUUAAGUCACAACAAGAGGAGUUGGUUCCAAGGGAGCUUACCUGAGCUUUGAAGAACCACACUAAAAACUUUUUUCUCCUCCUCCUUUCAGCCCAGGAGCACCACACAAAGCAGCCAUCGCCACACAGGAGCCACUCCAGCACCCAGGGAAGAGACAUCUCUGCCAGGAGGGGGGCCCCCCCACUCCCCCACACAAGGGGAGCCCCCCAGCCAGGGGGGACACUAC
Molecule: long non-coding RNA, 2563 nt
Filed under: Gallus gallus (chicken)
Lineage: Eukaryota; Metazoa; Chordata; Aves; Galliformes; Phasianidae
Description: lncRNA (ENSGALG00010023619.1)
Source: RNAcentral